This 839-nucleotide ribosomal RNA is filed under the name Frederiksenia canicola. Its description in RNAcentral is "bacterial SSU rRNA". It matches the Rfam family "Bacterial small subunit ribosomal RNA", at positions 1 to 832 of the family's 1533-position model. Lineage: Bacteria; Pseudomonadati; Pseudomonadota; Gammaproteobacteria; Pasteurellales; Pasteurellaceae. The record is from RNAcentral.
UUUGAGUUUGAUCGUGGCUCAGAUUGAACGCUGGCGGCAGGCUUAACACAUGCCAGUCGAACGGUAGCAGGAGAAAGCUUGCUUUCUUGCUGACGAGUGGCGGACGGGUGAGUAAUGCUUGGGAAUCUGGCUUAUGGAGGGGGAUAACUACUGGAAACGGUAGCUAAUACCGCGUAAUAUCGAGAGAUUAAAGACUGGGACCUACGGGCCAGUUGCCAUAAGAUGAGCCCAAGUGGGAUUAGGUAGUUGGUGGGGUAAAGGCCUACCAAGCCCGCGAUCUCUAGCUGGUCUGAGAGGAUGACCAGCCACACUGGAACUGAGACACGGUCCAGACUCCUACGGGAGGCAGCAGUGGGGAAUAUUGCACAAUGGGGGGAACCCUGAUGCAGCCAUGCCGCGUGAAUGAAGAAGGCCUUCGGGUUGUAAAGUUCUUUCGGUGGUGAGGAAGGUAUCAACUUUAAUAGAGUUGGUAAUUGACGUUAUCCACAGAAGAAGCACCGGCUAACUCCGUGCCAGCAGCCGCGGUAAUACGGAGGGUGCGAGCGUUAAUCGGAAUGACUGGGCGUAAAGGGCACGCAGGCGGAUUGUUAAGUGAGAUGUGAAAGCCCCGGGCUUAACCUGGGAAUUGCAUUUCAGACUGGCAAUCUAGAGUAUUUUAGGGAGGGGUAGAAUUCCACGUGUAGCCGGUGAAAUGCGUAGAGAUGUGGAGGAAUACCGAAGGCGNAAGGCAGCCCCUUGGGAAUAUACUGACGCUCAUGUGCGAAAGCGUGGGGAGCAAACAGGAUUCGAUACCCUGGUAGUCCACGCUGUAAACGAUGUCGAUUUGGGGAUUGGGCUAU